RNAcentral lists this ribosomal RNA (440 nucleotides) under uncultured bacterium. RNAcentral's name for it is "partial 16S ribosomal RNA". It matches the Rfam family "Bacterial small subunit ribosomal RNA", at positions 338 to 795 of the family's 1533-position model. The record is from RNAcentral.
CCUACGGGUGGCAGCAGUGGGGGAUAUUGCACAAUGGGGGAAACCCUGAUGCAGCGACGCCGCGUGUGGGAAGACGGUCUUCUGGAUUGUAAACCACUGUCACCAGGGACGAAAAUGACGGUACCUGGGGAGGAAGCUCCGGCUAACUACGUGCCAGCAGCCGCGGUAAUACGUAGGGAGCAAGCGUUGUCCGGAAUUACUGGGUGUAAAGGGAGCGUAGGCGGGGAUGCAAGUUGGGUGUCAAAACUACCGGCUCAACCGAUAGUCGCACUCAAAACUGCAACUCUUGAGUGAAGUAGAGGCAGGCGGAAUUCCUAGUGUAGCGGUGAAAUGCGUAGAUAGUAGGAGGAACACCAGUGGCGAAGGCGGCCUGCUGGGCUUUUACUGACGCUGAGGCUCGAAAGUGUGGGGAGCAAACAGGAUUAGAUACCCGGGUAGUC